AUACGGAGGGGGCAAGCGUUGUUCGGAAUCACUGGGCAUAAAGGGUGCGUAGGCGGCAAUAUAAGUCAGACGUGAAAUCUCCGGGCCUAAUCCGGAACGUGCGUUUGAUACUGCAUUGCUUGAGGGCGGGAGAGGAGAGUGGAAUUCCAGGUGUAGCGGUGAAAUGCGUAGAUAUCUGGGAGAACACCAGUGGCGAAGGCGACUCUCUGGACCGCUUCUGACGCUGAGGCACGAAAGCUAGGGGAGCGAACGGGAUUAGAAACCCCGGUAGUCC
Molecule: ribosomal RNA, 274 nt
Filed under: uncultured bacterium
Lineage: Bacteria
Description: partial 16S ribosomal RNA
Rfam family: Bacterial small subunit ribosomal RNA
Source: RNAcentral